Molecule: ribosomal RNA, 1639 nt
Filed under: Staphylococcus aureus
Lineage: Bacteria; Bacillati; Bacillota; Bacilli; Caryophanales; Staphylococcaceae
Also listed under: 1 other name
Description: partial 23S ribosomal RNA
Rfam family: Bacterial large subunit ribosomal RNA
Source: RNAcentral
GAUUAAGUUAUUAAGGGCGCACGGUGGAUGCCUUGGCACUAGAAGCCGAUGAAGGACGUUACUAACGACGAUAUGCUUUGGGGAGCUGUAAGUAAGCUUUGAUCCAGAGAUUUCCGAAUGGGGAAACCCAGCAUGAGUUAUGUCAUGUUAUCGAUAUGUGAAUACAUAGCAUAUCAGAAGGCACACCCGGAGAACUGAAACAUCUUAGUACCCGGAGGAAGAGAAAGAAAAUUCGAUUCCCUUAGUAGCGGCGAGCGAAACGGGAAGAGCCCAAACCAACAAGCUUGCUUGUUGGGGUUGUAGGACACUCUAUACGGAGUUACAAAGGACGACAUUAGACGAAUCAUCUGGAAAGAUGAAUCAAAGAAGGUAAUAAUCCUGUAGUCGAAAAUGUUGUCUCUCUUGAGUGGAUCCUGAGUACGACGGAGCACGUGAAAUUCCGUCGGAAUCUGGGAGGACCAUCUCCUAAGGCUAAAUACUCUCUAGUGACCGAUAGUGAACCAGUACCGUGAGGGAAAGGUGAAAAGCACCCCGGAAGGGGAGUGAAAUAGAACCUGAAACCGUGUGCUUACAAGUAGUCAGAGCCCGUUAAUGGGUGAUGGCGUGCCUUUUGUAGAAUGAACCGGCGAGUUACGAUUUGAUGCAAGGUUAAGCAGUAAAUGUGGAGCCGUAGCGAAAGCGAGUCUGAAUAGGGCGUUUAGUAUUUGGUCGUAGACCCGAAACCAGGUGAUCUACCCUUGGUCAGGUUGAAGUUCAGGUAACACUGAAUGGAGGACCGAACCGACUUACGUUGAAAAGUGAGCGGAUGAACUGAGGGUAGCGGAGAAAUUCCAAUCGAACCUGGAGAUAGCUGGUUCUCUCCGAAAUAGCUUUAGGGCUAGCCUCAAGUGAUGAUUAUUGGAGGUAGAGCACUGUUUGGACGAGGGGCCCCUCUCGGGUUACCGAAUUCAGACAAACUCCGAAUGCCAAUUAAUUUAACUUGGGAGUCAGAACAUGGGUGAUAAGGUCCGUGUUCGAAAGGGAAACAGCCCAGACCACCAGCUAAGGUCCCAAAAUAUAUGUUAAGUGGAAAAGGAUGUGGCGUUGCCCAGACAACUAGGAUGUUGGCUUAGAAGCAGCCAUCAUUUAAAGAGUGCGUAAUAGCUCACUAGUCGAGUGACACUGCGCCGAAAAUGUACCGGGGCUAAACAUAUUACCGAAGCUGUGGAUUGUCCUUUGGACAAUGGUAGGAGAGCGUUCUAAGGGCGUUGAAGCAUGAUCGUAAGGACAUGUGGAGCGCUUAGAAGUGAGAAUGCCGGUGUGAGUAGCGAAAGACGGGUGAGAAUCCCGUCCACCGAUUGACUAAGGUUUCCAGAGGAAGGCUCGUCCGCUCUGGGUUAGUCGGGUCCUAAGCUGAGGCCGACAGGCGUAGGCGAUGGAUAACAGGUUGAUAUUCCUGUACCACCUAUAAUCGUUUUAAUCGAUGGGGGGACGCAGUAGGAUAGGCGAAGCGUGCGAUUGGAUUGCACGUCUAAGCAGUAAGGCUGAGUAUUAGGCAAAUCCGGUACUCGUUAAGGCUGAGCUGUGAUGGGGAGAAGACAUUGUGUCUUCGAGUCGUUGAUUUCACACUGCCGAGAAAAGCCUCUAGAUAGAAAAUAGG